CCGGGGCUCCGGUACUAUAGUCUCAUUUUUGAUCUUAGAGUGUUCAAAUCAACGAUCCACACUAUUAAAACUAAUCUAGGGUACCUAAAGUUCUUAGAAAUAAAAUUUUAUAUUUUUUCGAUAUAGUUUACUUUAUGAUCAAAUUAUUUCAAAAUUGUCAUUUUUCAAUGACUACUAUGGCGAGCUUGGAGUUUAACGGUGUAGAAGAAUCUAAAUUUCUUCAAAUUUUGAUAGAAAAUACUUUAAACUAUCUAGAUUAAGGUUAACAUUCUUGAUCUUGAAUUUAAAAGUUCUAUGCUCAAAUUUUAAAAAAUAUUCUAUUUUCAUCGUCUAUUUUGACAUAAUUUAUUUACUAAGUAAAUGAUGUCGAAAAAAACUAAAAUUUUAUUCCUAAGAACUUUAUAUAUCCUAAAUCAUAUUUAACAGUGUGGAUCGUUAAUUUGAACACCCUAAGAUCGAAAAUAAGACUAUAAUACCGGAGCUCCGGUACUAUAAACAGUAUAGUAUCCUAAUUCUAUAUGUAUAUAUGGAGUCUGGCUACUAUACACUUAUGAGUACGAUCGUCCUCGUACUCAUAAGUUGUUUUCGAUAAUAGAGUUUUCGAAUCGACGAUCCAUACCGUCAAACAUUAUCUAGAGCAUUUAAAAUUUCUAGAAAUCAAAUUUCAUAAUUUUUCGAUAUCAUUUACCUUACGAUCAAAAGAUCACAAAAUUGACAAAUUUUAACAGCCGGUAUGGGAUACUUGCUAGUUUAACGGUGUAAAAGAAUCGGAAUCAAAAAAUUAUAUUCACUACCUAGAUAAAGAUCAAUUACUCCGAUCUUAAAUUGAAGGAUUCGAUCAUCCAUUUUUAGGACGUCGUUCGAUUUCGACCGUUCAUUUUAUACCCGCUUGAUGGACUUUAUUAUGACUUCGAAAAGUUACGAAAUUUGUUUUUUAGAAGUUUCGAAUACUCUAGAUCAUAUUUAACGGAAUGGAUCGUCGAUUCGGAAGUCCCAUCAUUGAAAACAUCUUAUAAGUACGAAGGGCCCCAUAUCGACGAUUCGAAAGUCGCAACAUGGAAAACGACCUGGAAGCACGGAAGGCUCCGUGCUUCCAGAAGCAUAGUAG
This 1108-nucleotide long non-coding RNA is filed under the name Ananas comosus (pineapple). Its description in RNAcentral is "long non-coding RNA (ACOM_LNC018262)". Lineage: Eukaryota; Viridiplantae; Streptophyta; Magnoliopsida; Poales; Bromeliaceae. The record is from RNAcentral.